UGCUCCAGAAUAGCUCUUGGAAACGGGUGGUAAUGCUGGAUGCUCCAACUUGACGCAUGUCUUGUUGGAAAGUGUUUAGUGGCAUGGGAUGGGGUCGCGUCCUAUCAGCUUGUAGGCGGGGUAAUGGCCCACCUAGGCUUCGACGGGUAGCCGGCCUGAGAGGGCGGACGGCCACAUUGGGACUGAGAUACGGCCCAGACUCCUACGGGAGGCAGCAGGC
Molecule: ribosomal RNA, 220 nt
Filed under: uncultured Gardnerella sp.
Lineage: Bacteria; Bacillati; Actinomycetota; Actinomycetes; Bifidobacteriales; Bifidobacteriaceae
Description: partial 16S ribosomal RNA
Rfam family: Bacterial small subunit ribosomal RNA
Source: RNAcentral